This is a long non-coding RNA of Bombus pascuorum, 805 nucleotides long. RefSeq lists it as uncharacterized. The transcript is spliced from 4 exons. The record is from RefSeq and is a predicted model, not a curated record. Lineage: Eukaryota; Metazoa; Arthropoda; Insecta; Hymenoptera; Apidae.
UGAUAAAUUUAAAGCAAGUGAUCGACAGGAUUCGGCUUGCUUCGUGUGUUUUCGUGUAGCGUAAGAUCAGCGUUAUUGCAUGUGUGACGUUAUCCAGUUAUCUACGUUUCAAAUCUAUGAAUAGUACAGUGAAAGAUUGUAUGUACGAUAUUUUACGAAGCAAUUGAUAUAAUGUGUGGCGAUUUAGUGAUAAAUUAAUUAAUUGAUACUUCAACGCGUAAUUUUGCUACAGGUACCAAAGAGAUCACUGGCAAGAGUCAGGUCUGUCGCGCAGGUAAACCACUCGUUGCAUUCCCUCGAGAUUUAUACUCCGAAGAAUGCCGUGGAGAGCAGCUCGGGAGAGGCCUGCACCGUGGAUCGAGAGGAACCAUGGCACGAGGAAGGGAGAUCGGGGCUUGACUGGUUUCAACACGAUCUUGGAUGCUGCUCAACCAUCACCUGCCAACUAUUCGAAAGCGCUGUUGCAGAAUAGAAUUACGUCGCCCAAAAAUGGAGACGUCGCUGUCAGGAUGGCAAAUCGAUGGAAUCUCGUAUUUUUUCCGAAUAAUGGAAUCAUUUAGGCAACCAACCGAGAAACAGCCACCAGGUACAUUAGCAUCGAUGUUAACGAGCCACAGGAUGUACCACAUUCGAAUAUCGUAGCUACUCUAAUCGAUUCGCCUUUUCGUAGUGAAUGCACGAUUCUUUUUUGGAAAAACAAAAAAUCGUGUGAAUUAUAUAGAGAAAUAUAGGGCUAAACUUGGAUUUUUAACGUCCUGUGGCAUCAAGGAAUGCAUUUUUAGCAAAUCGUCACACUUCUCUUCGC